This is an RNA transcript of Pieris brassicae (large cabbage white), 1011 nucleotides long. It is a transcript of the gene named glutenin, high molecular weight subunit DY10-like, with no coding region annotated. Lineage: Eukaryota; Metazoa; Arthropoda; Insecta; Lepidoptera; Pieridae. The record is from RefSeq and is a predicted model, not a curated record. The transcript is spliced from 7 exons.
GACAUUUCGAUUUUGACAGCUGUAUUGGAAUAAUGUAAAUAAAUAAUUGUAAAUUUCGUGUUUAAAAUGGAAUUUUGUAAUGGGUAAUGCUUUACCAGGAAAUGCCCACCCACGUUCUGGUGGACAGGGACAAAGCCCGUUUGGACAGUCUCCAUUCGGGCAGGGGCAGAGUCCAUUUGGGCAGGGUCAGGGUCCAUUUGGGCAGGGGCAGAGUCCAUUUGGGCAGGGGCAGAGUCCAUUUGGGCAGGGGCAGACUCCAUUCGGACAGGGACAGACUCCAUUUGGACAAGGACAGACUCCAUUCGGGCAGGGGCAGACUCCAUUUGGGCAGGGGCAGACUCCAUUUGGGCAGGGGCAGACUCCAUUUGGGCAGGAUCAGACUCCAUUUGGCUCACCAGAUAUAAGACAGCAAGCGCCUUUAGGGCAAGAUCCACAAGGACAAGUCACCGGUCCACAAAGCAAUCCUGCAAAUGUGUCUCCACCGCCAUAUGGUCAACAAGGGCUGCAAUACCCACCGAGCUAUCAACAAGCACCACCUGGUUACCCAUAUCCUGUGCAGGGACAGCACGGAUAUCCAGGGGGACCGGGAUAUCCACCUCAAGGUUACCCCGGGCAUCCUGGACAUGGAUCGGGAUAUCCAGCAGCACCACCCACCCCUGGUAUCGCAGAUAUGGCAUGCUGUGCAUCAUGCAUGGCUUGUCUCAGCUGUCUCCUCUGUUCGUGCUGUCAGGUCUAAUGCCGUAAUUCACAUUUUCGAAGGGAUAAAAUAAAAAUAUGUUGGACACCAUUCGCUCCAUCUAGGGGAUCACAAGACAUUAAGUAUGGAAUAAUCUGAUGGGGGGUGGAAUGGGUCACGGUGGUGACCAUUAUAACGAUGAAAAUUCAGGAGAAGAACACGCUGAUGUGGAGCCACCAGAUAUAGCUCAUGAUAAUGACAGAUAAGACAGAAAUUCAAGACUAAAAUUAUUGUUUUUUAUUUUUUUAUUGUGUAUUUGAAAAGUAUUUUCUUAA